CUAGAAUAUUUUAUACAUAAUCCUAUUGCAUGCAGCCUUGCUUCAGGAAUAUUCUAGAGGUGGCACCUGCAAUCAAAGCCUCCUCCUGCUCACUGUCAGUAGUUCAGCUUUCUGUUCUGAGAGCCCAGACUUCCAGAUACUAGUCCUGAAGAGAAUAAAUUCUUCGAAGCUCACCUGCAGAUUUCUUUUCUUGAGCACUACCCCUUCAUCCCUCCUUCCAUAUGUGAGAUCCCCAGGGCUGGGAUAAAGGUGAAGUGAGCAAGUCAUCUAGGACA
Molecule: long non-coding RNA, 275 nt
Filed under: Gorilla gorilla gorilla (western lowland gorilla)
Lineage: Eukaryota; Metazoa; Chordata; Mammalia; Primates; Hominidae
Description: lncRNA (ENSGGOG00000044613.1)
Source: RNAcentral